This 73-nucleotide transfer RNA is filed under the name Orenia marismortui. It matches the Rfam family "tRNA". From Rfam's summary of the family: Transfer RNA (tRNA) molecules are approximately 80 nucleotides in length. Their secondary structure includes four short double-helical elements and three loops (D, anti-codon, and T loops). RNAcentral also lists the same sequence under 1 other name. Lineage: Bacteria; Bacillati; Bacillota; Clostridia; Halanaerobiales; Halobacteroidaceae. The record is from Rfam by way of RNAcentral.
AGGGGAGUAGCUCAAUUGGUAGAGCACCGGACUCCAAAUCCGGGUGCUGUGGGUUCAAGUCCUAUCUCCCCUG